AGAGCGAACGCUGGCGGCAGGCCUAACACAUGCAAGUCGAGCGCCCGUAGCAAUACGGGAGCGGCAGACGGGAUAGUAACACGUGGGAACGCGCCCUUCGGUUCGGAAUAACUCAGGGAAACUUGAGCUAAUACCGAAUACGCCCUUACGGGGAAAGAUUUAUUGCCGAAGGAACGGCCCGCGUCCGAUUAGCUAGUUGGUGAGGUAAUGGCUCACCAAGGCUACGAUCGGUAGCUGGUCUGAGAGGAUGACCAGCAUCACUGGGACUGAGACACGGCCCAGACUCCUACGGGAGGCAGCAGUGGGGAAUAUUGGACAAUGGGCGCAAGCCUGAUCCAGCCAUGCCGCGUGGAUGAUGAAGGCCUUAGGGUUGUAAAGUCCUUUAACGGGAAGAUAAUGACGGUACCCGUAGAAUAAGCCCGGCUAACUUCGCGCCAGCAGCCGC
This 445-nucleotide ribosomal RNA is filed under the name uncultured bacterium. RNAcentral's name for it is "SSU rRNA". It matches the Rfam family "Bacterial small subunit ribosomal RNA", at positions 26 to 518 of the family's 1533-position model. The record is from RNAcentral.